Molecule: ribosomal RNA, 465 nt
Filed under: Vreelandella stevensii
Lineage: Bacteria; Pseudomonadati; Pseudomonadota; Gammaproteobacteria; Oceanospirillales; Halomonadaceae
Description: partial 16S ribosomal RNA
Rfam family: Bacterial small subunit ribosomal RNA
Source: RNAcentral
CCUACGGGGGGCAGCAGUGGGGAAUAUUGGACAAUGGGGGCAACCCUGAUCCAGCCAUGCCGCGUGUGUGAAGAAGGCCCUCGGGUUGUAAAGCACUUUCAGUGAGGAAGAACGCCUGGUGGUUAAUACCCAUCAGGAAAGACAUCACUCACAGAAGAAGCACCGGCUAACUCCGUGCCAGCAGCCGCGGUAAUACGGAGGGUGCGAGCGUUAAUCGGAAUUACUGGGCGUAAAGCGCGCGUAGGUGGCUUGAUAAGCCGGUUGUGAAAGCCCCGGGCUCAACCUGGGAACGGCAUCCGGAACUGUCAAGCUAGAGUGCAGGAGAGGAAGGUAGAAUUCCCGGUGUAGCGGUGAAAUGCGUAGAGAUCGGGAGGAAUACCAGUGGCGAAGGCGGCCUUCUGGACUGACACUGACACUGAGGUGCGAAAGCGUGGGUAGCAAACAGGAUUAGAUACUCCGGUAGUC